UUAAAGGGUCCACGCCAGAUCAUUUACAAGC
RNAcentral lists this non-coding RNA (31 nucleotides) under Mus musculus (house mouse). The record is from RNAcentral. Lineage: Eukaryota; Metazoa; Chordata; Mammalia; Rodentia; Muridae.